UUCAAAUGAUAUGAUGAUAAAUAGAAGAAAUAUUAAUUUUCAAAUAUUUACAAUUAAUAGAGAUAAUGAUUGAUAUGACGCAAUCUUUUUUUAGUAAAAAACCCCUUUUUGCUGUUUCAAUUAUGUACUUAUUCAUAAUACCUUCUUCUUGAUAUCAAGAAUUUAGAAUUACGCGAAGCAAACAGAAAAAUGUCUGGAUUCAAAUCAAUUGGACUAUUGUUGAUGAUGAUUGCAAUAAUCGUAAUGAUGGUAGCUCCAUCUGCGAUAACAGCUUGCCGUAUUACUGGUAAAAGUUGCAAAGUUAUUGGUAGUAAGGAAAAAUGUUGUUCUGGAUAUUGUCAUGCAAAAGGAGGCAAAGCAACUGGAAUAUGCAAAUGACGUUAAUUAUAUUUUUUCUAAUAAAUUUUCAACAAAUGAUUAUAAUAAUAAUUAAUUUAGAAGAUUUGGUAACGAUUGUCACUCCUAUAGAUAUUAAAAACGUUUAAAAUAUUUAUCUUUAAUAUUAUGUAUUUUUCUAGGCAAUAAAAAAUUCCACUAAAAAUUGUAAAAUAAAUUCUAA
This is a long non-coding RNA of Leptopilina boulardi, 559 nucleotides long. RefSeq lists it as uncharacterized. The transcript has 2 exons. The record is from RefSeq and is a predicted model, not a curated record. NCBI's taxonomy places the organism in Eukaryota, Metazoa, Arthropoda, Insecta, Hymenoptera, Figitidae.